AUGCAGAUGAUAUCACAGUGUGUACAUCGUCACAGGAAGACCUGGACACUUUAGGACAAAAGUUGUCUUUGUACGAACGGGCCUCAUCUGCACGUGUGAACUGGGUCAAGCCGACCCUUCCAGCAGGACUGCAAUGGAGCACAGAGGGGCUUAAGUACCUGGGUGUGUACCUGGGGAGUGACCAAUUCCAAA
Molecule: long non-coding RNA, 192 nt
Organism: Thalassophryne amazonica
Lineage: Eukaryota; Metazoa; Chordata; Actinopteri; Batrachoidiformes; Batrachoididae
Exons: 2
Source: RefSeq, a predicted model, not a curated record